UAAUACGUAGGGGGCAAGCGUUGUCCGGAAUUAUUGGGCGUAAAGCGCGCGCAGGCGGUUUCUUAAGUCUGGUGUUUAAGUGCGGGGCUCAACCCCGUGACGCACUGGAAACUGGGAGACUUGAGUGCAGAAGAGGAGAGCGGAAUUCCACGUGUAGCGGUGAAAUGCGUAGAGAUGUGGAGGAACACCAGUGGCGAAGGCGGCUCUCUGGACUGUAACUGACGCUGAGGCGCGAAAGCGUGGGGAGCAAACAGGAUUAGAUACCCUGGUAGUCCACGCCGUAAACGAUGAGUGCUAGGUGUUGGGGGGGGCCACCCCUCGGUGCCGAAGUUAACACAUUAAGCACUCCGCCUGGGGAGUACGGUCGCAAGACUGAA
This 377-nucleotide ribosomal RNA is filed under the name uncultured bacterium. Its description in RNAcentral is "bacterial SSU rRNA". It matches the Rfam family "Bacterial small subunit ribosomal RNA", at positions 521 to 898 of the family's 1533-position model. The record is from RNAcentral.